GAUGAACGCUGGCGGCGUGCCUAAUACAUGCAAGUCGAGCGGACGGACGAGAAGCUUGCUUCUCUGAUGUUAGCGGCGGACGGGUGAGUAACACGUGGAUAACCUACCUAUAAGACUGGGAUAACUUCGGGAAACCGGAGCUAAUACCGGAUAAUAUUUUGAACCGCAUGGUUCAAAAGUGAAAGACGGUCUUGCUGUCACUUAUAGAUGGAUCCGCGCUGCAUUAGCUAGUUGGUAAGGUAACGGCUUACCAAGGCAACGAUGCAUAGCCGACCUGAGAGGGGGGGCCGCCACCCCGGAAACGGAGCACCGGCCCAGCACCCUCGGGGGGCAGCCAGGAGGGAAUCUCCGGAAAGGGGGGAAAGCCGGCGGGAGCAAGCCGGGGUGAGGAAUAAGGGUCUUCGUAUCGUAAAACUUUUUUAUGAGGGAAAAACAUAUGUGUAAGUAACUGUGCACAUCUUGACGGUACCUAAUAAGAAAGCCACGCCUAACUACGUG
RNAcentral lists this ribosomal RNA (498 nucleotides) under uncultured bacterium. RNAcentral describes it as "partial 16S ribosomal RNA". It matches the Rfam family "Bacterial small subunit ribosomal RNA", at positions 28 to 507 of the family's 1533-position model. The record is from RNAcentral.